GGGGGUAUAGCUCAGUUGGCUAGAGCGAUAGGUUCGCAAUCUAUAGGCCAGGGGUUCGAAUCCCCUUACCUCCA
Molecule: transfer RNA, 74 nt
Filed under: Spirochaetales bacterium
Lineage: Bacteria; Pseudomonadati; Spirochaetota; Spirochaetia; Spirochaetales
Also listed under: 1 other name
Description: tRNA-Ala
Rfam family: tRNA
About the family: Transfer RNA (tRNA) molecules are approximately 80 nucleotides in length. Their secondary structure includes four short double-helical elements and three loops (D, anti-codon, and T loops).
Source: RNAcentral